This 484-nucleotide ribosomal RNA is filed under the name uncultured bacterium. RNAcentral describes it as "partial 16S ribosomal RNA". It matches the Rfam family "Bacterial small subunit ribosomal RNA", at positions 30 to 507 of the family's 1533-position model. The record is from RNAcentral.
AUUGAACGCUGGCGGCAUGCUUUACACAUGCAAGUCGAACGGCAGCGCGGGCUUCGGCCUGGCGGCGAGUGGCGAACGGGUGAGUAAUACAUCGGAACGUGCCCAGUCGUGGGGGAUAGCUCGGCGAAAGCCGGAUUAAUACCGCAUUCGACCUGAGGGUGAAAGCGGGGGUUCUUCGGACCUUGCGCUAUUGGAUCGGCCGAUGGCAGAUUAGCUAGUUGGUGGGGUAAAGGCCUACCAAGGCGACGAUCUGUAGCUGGUCUGAGAGGACGACCAGCCACACUGGGACUGAGACACGGCCCAGACUCCUACGGGAGGCAGCAGUGGGGAAUUUUGGACAAUGGGCGAAAGCCUGAUCCAGCAAUGCCGCGUGUGUGAUGAAGGCCUUCGGGUUGUAAAGCACUUUUGGCGGGAACGAAAAGGACUGUGCCAAUACCACGGUUCGAUGACGGUACCCGCAGAAUAAGCACCGGCUAACUACGUG